AGAAAAAUAUAAAUAGGAGACUUUAAUAUUUUUUUUAAUAGAAUAUCAUGGAAAUAUAGGCCUCGAUUGACUCUGCCGCCACCUUGUAUUGAACACGUGCUUUCCCCACGAUUUCUUUUCCUUCUAUUCAACUCGAACGCGUCUUCUUGGAAGCUUCUCCAAACACGCCUUAGACUCGUCCGCCACCGUACCCUAUAUAUACCCGUCUAACCCUUUUGCUCCCGUAUUUUCUAAUUAACAUACUCCACAUUAUUUCUUCAAAAAUUAAAUUUUCGUCUUUUUCUUUGAUAUUCUUUUUUGCUUCAGAUCCCCAAAUUUCAAUUCUCUUCAAUUUCUUCUCGAUUUCGAGUCUCGUAUUCCGACCAUGACUUCGAUCGCCAUGAGGAAUUUCGUCGGCCUUCCGAUCAUCGCCUUUAUACUGGCGGCGCUUUGCCAAUUCGCCUCCGGACAGAGCGGCGCUCCUUCACCAGCGCCGGCGCCUUCCAACGAUGGCACUGCGAUUGAUCAAGGAAUUGCUUACAUCCUCCUGCUUGUUGCUCUGGCGAUUACUUAUUUAAUCCACUGAGUUCGAUUGUUGUUAUUCUAUUUUUUUAUUUUUAUAUAGAGAUUGAUUUUGGUGGUUUAGUGAUAUUUAUUCAAUCUUCAUUCGUUUUCGCCGAUUAUUAGAGUGAGGAAAUUCCUGGAGCCCUCAUAUAUAUGUAGCUUACUUGUAGAUAGAAUUUAAAUGAGAAUAGUAUUCACUGUUACAAUUUA
Salvia miltiorrhiza (redroot sage) is the source of this 753-nucleotide long non-coding RNA. RefSeq lists it as uncharacterized. The transcript is spliced from 2 exons. Lineage: Eukaryota; Viridiplantae; Streptophyta; Magnoliopsida; Lamiales; Lamiaceae. The record is from RefSeq and is a predicted model, not a curated record.